CACGUCAUACAAUGGUCGGUACAGAGGGUUGCCAACCCGCGACGGGGGAGGCGUAAUCCCACAAAGACCGAUCGUAGUCCGGAUCGCAGGUCUGCAACUCGACUGCGUGAAGUCGGAAUCGCUAGUAAUCGUGGAUCAGCAUGUCACGGUGAAUACGUUCCCGGGUCUU
This 169-nucleotide ribosomal RNA is filed under the name uncultured Rhodocyclaceae bacterium. RNAcentral describes it as "partial 16S ribosomal RNA". It matches the Rfam family "Bacterial small subunit ribosomal RNA", at positions 1219 to 1382 of the family's 1533-position model. Lineage: Bacteria; Pseudomonadati; Pseudomonadota; Betaproteobacteria; Rhodocyclales; Rhodocyclaceae. The record is from RNAcentral.